This 371-nucleotide ribosomal RNA is filed under the name uncultured bacterium. Its description in RNAcentral is "bacterial SSU rRNA". It matches the Rfam family "Bacterial small subunit ribosomal RNA", at positions 527 to 896 of the family's 1533-position model. The record is from RNAcentral.
AGGGGGGGCAAGCGUUGUUCGGAAUUACUGGGCGUAAAGGGUUCGUAGGUGGCCACUUAAGUCAGACGUGAAAUCCCUCAGCUUAACUGGGGAACUGCGUCUGAUACUGAGUGGCUUGAGUGCAGGAGAGGAAUGCGGAAUUCCAGGUGUAGCGGUGAAAUGCGUAGAUAUCUGGAGGAACACCGGUGGCGAAGGCGGCAUUCUGGACUGUAACUGACACUGAGGAACGAAAGCCAGGGGAGCAAACGGGAUUAGAUACCCUGGUAGUCCACGCCGUAAACGAUGAGUACUAGGUGUUGCGGGUAUUGACCCCUGCAGUGCCGCAGCUAACGCAUUAAGUACUCCGCCUGGGAAGUACGGUCGCAAGACUA